This is a non-coding RNA of Galeopterus variegatus (Sunda flying lemur), 348 nucleotides long. The record is from the annotation of a RefSeq genome assembly. Lineage: Eukaryota; Metazoa; Chordata; Mammalia; Dermoptera; Cynocephalidae.
AUGCUCUGGAUCCCUGGAUCCAGUGGGGAUGUUGUGAUGACCCAGACUCCACUCUCCCUGCUCAUCACCCCUGGAGAGCCGGUCUCCAUCUCCUGCAGGGCUAGUCAGAGCCUUCUAUCCGAUGAUGGAAACACCUAUUUGGAAUGGUUUCUUCAGAAGCCAGGCCAGUCUCCUCGGCUAUUGUUCUAUAGGCCUUCCAAACGUGCCUCUGGGGUCCCUGACAGGUUCAGUGGCAGUGGGUCAGGGACAGAUUUCACACUCAAAAUCAGUAGGGUGGAGGCUGAGGAUGUUGGGAUUUAUUACUGCGUGCAAGCUACACAUUCACCACCCACAGUGAUACAGCCCUGA